RNAcentral lists this long non-coding RNA (227 nucleotides) under Prunus persica (peach). Its description in RNAcentral is "long non-coding RNA (PPER_LNC004656)". Lineage: Eukaryota; Viridiplantae; Streptophyta; Magnoliopsida; Rosales; Rosaceae. The record is from RNAcentral.
GAGGAGCCAUUUGUUGGGUUUUGAGUGAAAUCCAAUCUCUACAACUAUACAAUACACAAACCACUCCACUUCAGAAUGAACAUCGAACGAACCUGAAUUGUCCGAUUUCACGGACCAAUCGAUAUCAGAUUGAGUCCAAAACUUGGGGAACAUCAUAAUACGGUGGGAGGAGUCAUUUGGUGACUUUUGAGUGAAAUCCAAUGGCUAAAACUAUACAAUACAAUAAC